This 85-nucleotide transfer RNA is filed under the name Felis catus (domestic cat). It matches the Rfam family "tRNA". Rfam says of the family: Transfer RNA (tRNA) molecules are approximately 80 nucleotides in length. Their secondary structure includes four short double-helical elements and three loops (D, anti-codon, and T loops). RNAcentral also lists the same sequence under 2 other names. The record is from Rfam by way of RNAcentral. Lineage: Eukaryota; Metazoa; Chordata; Mammalia; Carnivora; Felidae.
GCCUGGGUGGCUCAGUCGGUUGAGCGUCUGACUUUGGCUCAGGUCAUGAUCUCACGGUCUGUGAGUUCGAGCCCCGCGUCGGGCU